UACGGAGGAUGCAAGCGUUAUCCGGAUUCAUUGGGUUUAAAGGGUGCGUAGGCGGACUAUUAAGUCAGUGGUGAAAGCCUGCAGCUUAACUGCAGAACUGCCAUUGAUACUGAUAGUCUUGAGUUUGGUUAAGGUAGGCGGAAUGUGUAAUGUAGCGGUGAAAUGCUUAGAUAUUACACAGAACACCAAUUGCGUAGGCAGCUUACUGAGCCGACACUGACGCUGAGGCACGAAAGCGUGGGGAUCGAA
RNAcentral lists this ribosomal RNA (249 nucleotides) under uncultured prokaryote. Its description in RNAcentral is "partial 16S ribosomal RNA". It matches the Rfam family "Bacterial small subunit ribosomal RNA", at positions 524 to 772 of the family's 1533-position model. The record is from RNAcentral.